RNAcentral lists this ribosomal RNA (259 nucleotides) under uncultured bacterium. RNAcentral describes it as "partial 16S ribosomal RNA". It matches the Rfam family "Bacterial small subunit ribosomal RNA", at positions 95 to 354 of the family's 1533-position model. The record is from RNAcentral.
UUGGCGAACGGGUGAGUAAUACAUAGGUAACCUACCCUUAAGACGAGGAUAGCCAUUGGAAACGAUGGAUAAAACUGGAUGGGAUAUAGAGGAAGAAUCUUUUAUAUUUAAAAGAGAGAUCUGCUUAAGGAGGGGCCUGUGGCGCAUUAGCUAGUUGGUGGGGUAAGGGCCUACCAAGGCGAUGAUGCGUAGCCGGACUGAGAGGUUGAACGGCCACAAUGGAACUGAGAACGGUCCAUACUCCUACGGAAGGCAGCAG